AAGCUGGAGUAGAGAUAUCAACAUGGACAGAGAAUGACAAUUCUUGGGAGUUUGUCUUGAGUGCUGGAUUGGAGAUUGAUGCAUACGUUCUGGCAUCUGCAUCUUCUAGAAUCAAGACCCUUUUGAAUAUGAGUAAAACUUUUGCAAAUCUACUGGGAGUUGAGGAAUCCUCAGUUAUCCUGGCGCCAACUUUGAAUUUGCAGCGGUGUUCGACAGUGAAACCAUUGAAAGCUUCUGGAGUUUGCUCUACGCUACUGCUAUGGAACAGAAGAUAAAAGAGUCAGCGAGCCUCGCAGGUCGCCUCGAUUUGUUCAGUAAAAUUUUGUGUCGAGUGAGGAAAGAUGACAGAGAAAAACGUUCAAGUUUCAGAAGCAGAACAACAAGCAGGUCAAACCACGGGAAAAGGGUUGAUUUCAGAUUCUCUAAUUUUCAAGCCCUUCAGGUAUUGAUCUUUCUUCAACAAAAGCAAAGGCAGCAAGGAGAAAGACAUUCUUAGAAAAUUUCACCAUUUUCUUGUGUAAAAUAGUCUUGAUGGAAAAAUAUAUUUUGGCAUGCUGCUCCCAUUUAAACACAUCUUGAAGAGAAGGAUAUGCAGUCAUAACAUGUUUUUCUUUCUUAAGAGUAGAAUUGUUGUCAGUUGAUUAAUUUUACUAAGCUUCCUUUUGUUUUGUGCUUAGUGCCAUCCUAUUCUUAUAGGAUCAUAUUUUUAACUUAUUGUAGUUUCCUAAUUAUCUCUUUCUAAAUUAUCGGAUUGUGAAGUGA
Lycium ferocissimum is the source of this 762-nucleotide long non-coding RNA. RefSeq lists it as uncharacterized. The transcript is spliced from 5 exons. NCBI's taxonomy places the organism in Eukaryota, Viridiplantae, Streptophyta, Magnoliopsida, Solanales, Solanaceae. The record is from RefSeq and is a predicted model, not a curated record.